UCAUCGAAAUGGCUUCCUCAAUUUUGAUCCGUUGUUGCUCCGCGAGCUAAACGUCGGAUGCAAGAUGUGGGUUCCUGUGUUGCAUACCUAUUGCGACGGAAAUGUGUGCCUUCGGUCGUCCCUUCCAUCACGACGUCCUCUCGGAUGCUCGGUUGGACCGGAUAGUGGGGCUCGUGUUCCACGAACGUCGUCUCGUUCGAUCGUUCGGAUGGACCACGAGUGCCUACUCGUUCUCUCGGAUGCGGAACUCUCGUAAUGGGAGUGGGGUCAUUGGCCCUUGUUCCCUAAUCGUUUAGCGUUUACCGCUUCACCUGAAUGACGAUCCUGCCUUGUCCUUGAUCGCGCGAAGCCCUCGGGCAUCGCGAUGGAUCAUGCUCGGGCGGACGUCUUGAAGGAAUGC
RNAcentral lists this unclassified non-coding RNA (400 nucleotides) under Eucalyptus fraseri subsp. fraseri. Its description in RNAcentral is "partial external transcribed spacer". Lineage: Eukaryota; Viridiplantae; Streptophyta; Magnoliopsida; Myrtales; Myrtaceae. The record is from RNAcentral.